UGUGUAGCGGGGGAUAACGUUCGGUAAACGAACGCUAAUACCGCAUACGUCCUACGGGAGAAAGCAGGGGACCUUCGGGCCUUGCGCUAUCAGAUGAGCCUAGGUCGGAUUAGCUAGUUGGUGAGGUAAUGGCUCACCAAGGCGACGAUCCGUAACUGGUCUGAGAGGAUGAUCAGUCACACUGGAACUGAGACACGGUCCAGACUCCUACGGGAGGCAGCAGUGGGGAAUAUUGGACAAUGGGCGAAAGCCUGAUCCACCCUGCCGCGUGUGUGAAA
This 278-nucleotide ribosomal RNA is filed under the name Pseudomonas sp. Its description in RNAcentral is "partial 16S ribosomal RNA". It matches the Rfam family "Bacterial small subunit ribosomal RNA", at positions 131 to 410 of the family's 1533-position model. Lineage: Bacteria; Pseudomonadati; Pseudomonadota; Gammaproteobacteria; Pseudomonadales; Pseudomonadaceae. The record is from RNAcentral.